CCUACGGGUGGCAGCAGUAGGGAAUAUUGCUCAAUGGGGGAAACCCUGAAGCAGCAACGCCGCGUGAAGGAUGAAGGUUUUCGGAUUGUAAACCUCUUUUGUUAGAGAAGAUAAAGACGGUAACUAACGAAUAAGCACCGGCCUAAGCAGUGACAGCAGGCGAGGUAAUACGGAGGGGGCCAGCGUUACUCGGAAGUAAUGGGCGUAAAGAGGGCGUAGGAGGGAUAGACAGUCAGACGUGAAAUUCUUUGGCUUAAACAUAGAACUGCAUUUGAAACUGUUAGUCUAGAGUAUAGGAGAGGUAGGUGGAAUUCUUGGUGUAGGGGUGAAAUGCGUAGAGAUCAAGAGGAAUACUCAUGGCGAAGGCGACUUACUAGACCGUAACUGACGCUGAUGCUCGAAAGCGUGGGGAGCAAACAGGAUUAGAUACCCUAGUAGUC
This 440-nucleotide ribosomal RNA is filed under the name uncultured bacterium. RNAcentral's name for it is "partial 16S ribosomal RNA". It matches the Rfam family "Bacterial small subunit ribosomal RNA", at positions 338 to 795 of the family's 1533-position model. The record is from RNAcentral.